This 345-nucleotide long non-coding RNA is filed under the name Malus domestica (apple). RNAcentral describes it as "long non-coding RNA (MDOM_LNC008114)". The record is from RNAcentral. Lineage: Eukaryota; Viridiplantae; Streptophyta; Magnoliopsida; Rosales; Rosaceae.
AUUGGAUGACUUGAAAUAAAUGAAAGCCCAAAGCCCAAACAACACAAAGAGGGCCGGCCAUUUUAGGUGUGGAAAGGGUGAGAUAUUUAGUCAAGUUGUUGGCUAGGUUUCUUAUGUCUAUAUAAGGAACUUUAUAGUGAUAUUGUUCAUAAGGGUUUUUGUGUGGUUAAAAACAACAAAGAGGCAAAAGAAUAUCUCUCUAAAAACUACACAAAGGCCGGCCACCUUGGGGUGAUUUUACUAACAUAUCUUUCACCCUUUGGUUAUUCCUUCAUCCUUCUCACUACUCUAGUGAGUGAGGAUCUUUAGAGGUUUCCUACUUUGGAAACUUGAAGAGAACCUAGG